Molecule: long non-coding RNA, 132 nt
Organism: Aegilops tauschii subsp. strangulata
Lineage: Eukaryota; Viridiplantae; Streptophyta; Magnoliopsida; Poales; Poaceae
Source: RefSeq, a predicted model, not a curated record
AGACAUGAGCUGCGAAAUGAUAUAUGGCCAGGUGCCCCCACCACUGGAAGAAGAUCCAGUGUCAAAACAACCCUGCUAUCCCAGCCUCUGUUCCAUAUCGACGCCCUCCGCUGCAAUAUGUCCCAAAAUUCA